Molecule: ribosomal RNA, 531 nt
Filed under: uncultured bacterium
Lineage: Bacteria
Description: bacterial SSU rRNA
Rfam family: Bacterial small subunit ribosomal RNA
Source: RNAcentral
GGCNGCUGCUUUACACAUGCAAGUCGAACGGCAGCAUGACCUAGCUUGCUAGGUUGAUGGCGAGUGGCGAACGGGUGAGUAAUGCACCGGAACGUACCCAGUAAUGGGGGAUAACGCACCGAAAGGUGUGCUAAUACCGCAUACGCCCUGAGGGGGAAAGCGGGGGAUCGUAAGACCUCGCGUUAUUGGAGCGGCCGAUGCCGGAUUAGCUAGUUGGUGGGGUAAAGGCCUACCAAGGCGACGAUCCGUAGCUGGUCUGAGAGGACGACCAGCCACACUGGGACUGAGACACGGCCCAGACUCCUACGGGAGGCAGCAGUGGGGAAUUUUGGACAAUGGGCGCAAGCCUGAUCCAGCCAUGCCGCGUGAGUGAAGAAGGCCUUCGGGUUGUAAAGCUCUUUCGCAAGGAAAGAAAACUUAGCUACUAAUACUAGCUGAGGAUGACGGUACCUUGAUAAGAAGCACCGGCUAACUACGUGCCAGCAGCCGCGGUAAUACGUAGGGUGCGAGCGUUAAUCGGAAUUACUGGGC